Non-coding RNA from Triticum aestivum (bread wheat), 115 nucleotides. The record is from Rfam. NCBI's taxonomy places the organism in Eukaryota, Viridiplantae, Streptophyta, Magnoliopsida, Poales, Poaceae.
AUAAUACUCCCUCCAUCCGGAAUUACUUGUCAUCAAAAUGGAUGUGUCUAGAACUAAAAUACAUCUAGAUACAUCCAUUUCAAUGACAAGUAUUUUCGGACGGAGGGAGUAGUAG